ACACACCGCCCCGUCGCUCCUACCGAUUGGGUGUGCUGGUGAAGCGGUCGGAUUGGCGUUAGUGGGCGGUUUUCCGCCUCCUCUCGCUGAGAAGUUCGUUAAACCCUCCCACCUAGAAGAAAGGAGAAGUCGUAACAAGGUUUCCGUAGGUGACAUUUACUAUGCGGAUAAAAGCAUGCCUUAAAAGGGUACUGCUAGUACUUAUGUCUGUCACUAGACUGAGUGCGACACCGUCAAACUGCCUGAAAGUCCUGUUAAGCCUCUGAUACCGCACAGCAUGGGAAACUAUGUUGCUGCACCUCGGUGAAAGUCGAGGGCAUGGUAAAAACUCAGAAGGAUAGGGAUAAUGGGCAGCCAAGUGCUAAAGGAAUCAUUUCCCAUGCAUGCAGUUCACAGACUAAAUGGCGGUGGGUUGGAAUGCAAAAUCAAAAAUACACAGAGGAUUUUGCCUUUUGGCUUAAGAUAUAGUCGGUCCUCGCCGAAAGGCGGCCUGCAGGAGGAAUUUCCAGUCGGAAAGGAGAGCCUGCAGGAGUUUGGAUAAUACUCUGCAUUGCAAAAUGUGGUAGGGCUUGCAUCAAUUUGAUUCGAGCCUCUAAACUGGAAUAAACGAGGUGAACCUGCGGAAGGAUCAUUG
Molecule: non-coding RNA, 634 nt
Filed under: Trebouxia decolorans
Lineage: Eukaryota; Viridiplantae; Chlorophyta; Trebouxiophyceae; Trebouxiales; Trebouxiaceae
Description: partial 18S ribosomal RNA
Rfam family: Eukaryotic small subunit ribosomal RNA (bases 1-179)
Source: RNAcentral